GGGGCUAUAGCUCAGCUGGGAGAGCGCCUGCUUUGCACGCAGGAGGUCUGCGGUUCGAUCCGCAUAGCUCCA
This 72-nucleotide transfer RNA is filed under the name Escherichia coli. RNAcentral describes it as "tRNA-Ala". It matches the Rfam family "tRNA". Rfam says of the family: Transfer RNA (tRNA) molecules are approximately 80 nucleotides in length. Their secondary structure includes four short double-helical elements and three loops (D, anti-codon, and T loops). Further hydrogen bonds mediate the characteristic L-shaped molecular structure. tRNAs have two regions of fundamental functional importance: the anti-codon, which is responsible for specific mRNA codon recognition, and the 3' end, to which the tRNAs corresponding amino acid is attached (by aminoacyl-tRNA synthetases). tRNAs cope with the degeneracy of the genetic code in two manners: having more than one tRNA (with a specific anti-codon) for a particular amino acid; and 'wobble' base-pairing, i.e. permitting non-standard base-pairing at the 3rd anti-codon position. Lineage: Bacteria; Pseudomonadati; Pseudomonadota; Gammaproteobacteria; Enterobacterales; Enterobacteriaceae. The record is from RNAcentral.